UGCGGGCGACGCGGGCGGCGAUACUGGGCGUAAGGAGCGUGAAGAGGGCGUGGAACGCCGCCGCGGAAAAUCCGCUGAGAAUGGCCGCGGCCGCCGUGCCCGAAAGAACGGCGGAAGAGGCCUUGAGGUCGAUUCAAGCCAGGAGCCAGUGG
This 152-nucleotide ribosomal RNA is filed under the name uncultured Chlorophyceae. RNAcentral's name for it is "partial Bacterial small subunit ribosomal RNA". Lineage: Eukaryota; Viridiplantae; Chlorophyta; Chlorophyceae. The record is from RNAcentral.